GAUGGAGGAGUUUGUUGGAUAAAUAGACGGUGAAUUUUCGCUUUCAUCAUACAUCUCGCUUAUUCUUACCGCUCGUCCAAGUCGUAACAAACUUGAGAACUGAACCAUCCUCAACAUGAUCUUGAAACUCUUGUUUUUGGUGAAUAUCAUUUUGAUUCUAUCAACUGUACUUCAGGCGAAGCCCGCCCCACUGACGAGAUUGAUUGAACUCCAAAAUGAAUUUAUACAGGGAUUUCAGACGGCUUUUCUUCGGAUGCGCUAAAAUGACCACUCACUUCUCACAUACCCAGUUGUAAUCUUAUUUCAAAUACACUCUGAAUAAUCUUAAACAACUCUAUCAUUGAGAAUGAGUUAUUCCAGUAAUACUGCACUGAAAUAUCAUAAAAGAUUAUUUAUUCAAUUGAUUGUUGAAGAAGUUGCAAUAGGUCUGUGAGGAGGUAGCCCAGUGAAUUAAUAAAGAUUGAAUGAGCA
Molecule: long non-coding RNA, 471 nt
Organism: Nilaparvata lugens (brown planthopper)
Lineage: Eukaryota; Metazoa; Arthropoda; Insecta; Hemiptera; Delphacidae
Exons: 2
Source: RefSeq, a predicted model, not a curated record